This 3189-nucleotide ribosomal RNA is filed under the name Saccharomyces cerevisiae (brewer's yeast). It matches the Rfam family "Bacterial large subunit ribosomal RNA". The record is from RNAcentral. Lineage: Eukaryota; Fungi; Ascomycota; Saccharomycetes; Saccharomycetales; Saccharomycetaceae.
GAUAAUCAUGGAGUAUAAAAAUUAAAUUUAAUAAAUUUAAUAUAACUAUUAAUAGAAUUAGGUUACUAAUAAAUUAAUAACAAUUAAUUUUAAAACCUAAAGGUAAACCUUUAUAUUAAUAAUGUUUUUUUUUUAUUUUUAUAAUUAAGAAUAAUUAUUAAUAAUAAUAAACUAAGUGAACUGAAACAUCUAAGUAACUUAAGGAUAAUAAAUCAACAGAGAUAUUAUGAGUAUUGGUGAGAGAAAAUAAUAAAGGUCUAAUAAGUAUUAUGUGAAAAAAAUGUAAGAAAAUAGGAUAACAAAUUCUAAGACUAAAUACUAUUAAUAAGUAUAGUAAGUACCGUAAGGGAAAGUAUGAAAAUGAUUAUUUUAUAAGCAAUCAUGAAUAUAUUAUAUUAUAUUAAUGAUGUACCUUUUGUAUAAUGGGUCAGCAAGUAAUUAAUAUUAGUAAAACAAUAAGUUAUAAAUAAAUAGAAUAAUAUAUAUAUAUAAAAAAAUAUAUUAAAAUAUUUAAUUAAUAUUAAUUGACCCGAAAGCAAACGAUCUAACUAUGAUAAGAUGGAUAAACGAUCGAACAGGUUGAUGUUGCAAUAUCAUCUGAUUAAUUGUGGUUAGUAGUGAAAGACAAAUCUGGUUUGCAGAUAGCUGGUUUUCUAUGAAAUAUAUGUAAGUAUAGCCUUUAUAAAUAAUAAUUAUUAUAUAAUAUUAUAUAAAUAUUAUAUAAAGAAUGGUACAGCAAUUAAUAUAUAUUAGGGAACUAUUAAAGUUUUAUUAAUAAUAUUAAAUCUCGAAAUAUUUAAUUAUAUAUAAUAAAGAGUCAGAUUAUGUGCGAUAAGGUAAAUAAUCUAAAGGGAAACAGCCCAGAUUAAGAUAUAAAGUUCCUAAUAAAUAAUAAGUGAAAUAAAUAUUAAAAUAUUAUAAUAUAAUCAGUUAAUGGGUUUGACAAUAACCAUUUUUUAAUGAACAUGUAACAAUGCACUGAUUUAUAAUAAAUAAAAAAAAUAAUAUUUAAAAUCAAAUAUAUAUAUAUUUGUUAAUAGAUAAUAUACGGAUCUUAAUAAUAAGAAUUAUUUAAUUCCUAAUAUGGAAUAUUAUAUUUUUAUAAUAAUAAUAAAAAUAUAAAUACUGAAUAUCUAAAUAUUAUUAUUACUUUUUUUUUUAAUAAUAAUAAUAUGGUAAUAGAACAUUUAAUGAUAAUAUAUAUUAGUUAUUAAUUAAUAUAUGUAUUAAUUAAAUAGAGAAUGCUGACAUGAGUAACGAAAAAAAGGUAUAAACCUUUUCACCUAAAACAUAAGGUUUAACUAUAAAAGUACGGCCCCUAAUUAAAUUAUAUAAGAAUAUAAAUAUAUUUAAGAUGGGAUAAUCUAUAUUAAUAAAAAUUUAUCUUAAAAUAUAUAUAUUAUUAAUAAUUAUAUUAAUUAAUUAAUAAUAUAUAUAAUUAUAUUAUAUAUUAUAUUUUUAUAUAUAAUAUAUAUAAUAUAAACUAAUAAAGAUCAGGAAAUAAUUAAUGUAUACCGUAAUGUAGACCGACUCAGGUAUGUAAGUAGAGAAUAUGAAGGUGAAUUAGAUAAUUAAAGGGAAGGAACUCGGCAAAGAUAGCUCAUAAGUUAGUCAAUAAAGAGUAAUAAGAACAAAGUUGUACAACUGUUUACUAAAAACACCGCACUUUGCAGAAACGAUAAGUUUAAGUAUAAGGUGUGAACUCUGCUCCAUGCUUAAUAUAUAAAUAAAAUUAUUUAACGAUAAUUUUAUUAAAUUUAGGUAAAUAGCAGCCUUAUUAUGAGGGUUAUAAUGUAGCGAAAUUCCUUGGCCUAUAAUUGAGGUCCCGCAUGAAUGACGUAAUGAUACAACAACUGUCUCCCCUUUAAGCUAAGUGAAAUUGAAAUCGUAGUGAAGAUGCUAUGUACCUUCAGCAAGACGGAAAGACCCUAUGCAGCUUUACUGUAAUUAGAUAGAUCGAAUUAUUGUUUAUUAUAUUCAGCAUAUUAAGUAAUCCUAUUAUUAGGUAAUCGUUUAGAUAUUAAUGAGAUACUUAUUAUAAUAUAAUGAUAAUUCUAAUCUUAUAAAUAAUUAUUAUUAUUAUUAUUAUUAAUAAUAAUAAUAUGCUUUCAAGCAUAGUGAUAAAACAUAUUUAUAUGAUAAUCACUUUACUUAAUAGAUAUAAUUCUUAAGUAAUAUAUAAUAUAUAUUAUAUAUAUAUUAUAUAUAAUAUAAGAGACAAUCUCUAAUUGGUAGUUUUGAUGGGGCGUCAUUAUCAGCAAAAGUAUCUGAAUAAGUCCAUAAAUAAAUAUAUAAAAUUAUUGAAUAAAAAAAUAAUAUAUAUUAUAUAUAUUAAUUAUAAAUUGAAAUAUGUUUAUAUAAAUUUAUAUUUAUUGAAUAUAUUUUAGUAAUAGAUAAAAAUAUGUACAGUAAAAUUGUAAGGAAAACAAUAAUAACUUUCUCCUCUCUCGGUGGGGGUUCACACCUAUUUUUAAUAGGUGUGAACCCCUCUUCGGGGUUCCGGUUCCCUUUCGGGUCCCGGAACUUAAAUAAAAAUGGAAAGAAUUAAAUUAAUAUAAUGGUAUAACUGUGCGAUAAUUGUAACACAAACGAGUGAAACAAGUACGUAAGUAUGGCAUAAUGAACAAAUAACACUGAUUGUAAAGGUUAUUGAUAACGAAUAAAAGUUACGCUAGGGAUAACAGGGUAAUAUAACGAAAGAGUAGAUAUUGUAAGUUAUGUUUGCCACCUCGAUGUCGACUCAACAUUUCCUCUUGGUUGUAAAAGCUAAGAAGGGUUUGACUGUUCGUCAAUUAAAAUGUUACGUGAGUUGGGUUAAAUACGAUGUGAAUCAGUAUGGUUCCUAUCUGCUGAAGGAAAUAUUAUCAAAUUAAAUCUCAUUAUUAGUACGCAAGGACCAUAAUGAAUCAACCCAUGGUGUAUCUAUUGAUAAUAAUAUAAUAUAUUUAAUAAAAAUAAUACUUUAUUAAUAUAUUAUCUAUAUUAGUUUAUAUUUUAAUUAUAUAUUAUCAUAGUAGAUAAGCUAAGUUGAUAAUAAAUAAAUAUUGAAUACAUAUUAAAUAUGAAGUUGUUUUAAUAAGAUAAUUAAUCUGAUAAUUUUAUACUAAAAUUAAUAAUUAUAGGUUUUAUAUAUUAUUUAUAAAUAUAAUAUAAUAAUUAUUAUUAUUAAUAAAAAAAAUAUUAAUUAUA